UCCCUGGUGGCUUAGCUGGUAAAGAAUCUGCCUGCAAUGCGGGAGACCUGGGUUCAAUCCCUGGGUUGGGAA
Non-coding RNA from Bos taurus (domestic cattle), 72 nucleotides. The record is from Rfam. NCBI's taxonomy places the organism in Eukaryota, Metazoa, Chordata, Mammalia, Artiodactyla, Bovidae.